AUAAGUUAUGAUCAAUAGGUUGUAUUUUUUAAUUAAUUUUUAUAAAAACUGCUAUUUUUGGAAAGUAGUCAUUUUUAGCGAACUAUUGGUAGAAUUGAGAUUCUGAUAUAGAAAUUAAGAUAACAAGAAUUUUUGUUGAUAUAUGAGUAUUUUUUUAGAGUUUUUGAUCAAUAUGUUGUUUUUUAGUAAUAUUUUUAAAACGGCUAGUUUUGGAAAGUUAUAAUUUUUAGAGAACUAUUGUAGAUUUGAGAUUUUGAUUUAGAAAUUAGGAUAACAAUAAUUUUUGUUGAUAGAUGAGUAUUCUUUCAUAAGUUAUGAUCAAUAAGUUGUAUUUCUUAAUUAAUUUUUAUAAAAACUACUAUGUUUGGAAAUUUAUCAUUUUUAGCGAACUAUUGGUAGAUUUGAGAUUCUGAAUUAGAAAUCUGGAUAGUACUAAUUUUUCUUGAUAGAUAAGUAUUCUUGUAUAAUUUUUGAUCAAUAGGUUGUAUUAUUUAAAUAAAUUUUUCAAAACUGCUAUUUUUGGAAAGUUAUCAUUUUUAUAAUUGUAAAUUUGGGGUUGUGAUUUAGAAAGUAGGAUAACAAGAAUAUUUGUUGAUAUAAAAGUAUUCUUUUAAAUUUUUGGUCAAUGGGUUGUAUUUUUAAAUGGCUAUUUUUAGAAAGUUAUCAUUUUUUAGAAAACUAUUGUAGAUUUGAGAUUCUGAUUUAAAAAUUAGGAUAAUAAUAAUUUUUUUUAUGUAUGAGUAUUUUUGGAAAGUUAUCAUUUUAAGAGAACUAUUUAUUGAUUUGAGAUUUUAAUUUAGAAAUUAGGAUAACAAUAAUAUUUGUUGAUAGAUGGGUAUUCUAUUAGAUUUUUUGAUCAAUAGGUUAACAUAUUUUGAGAGAACUACUGUAGAUUUGAGAUUUUUUUUUAUGGACAACAAACUAAGGU
RNAcentral lists this long non-coding RNA (928 nucleotides) under Brassica napus (rape). RNAcentral describes it as "long non-coding RNA (BNAP_LNC024294)". The record is from RNAcentral. Lineage: Eukaryota; Viridiplantae; Streptophyta; Magnoliopsida; Brassicales; Brassicaceae.